GCGGUGAAAUGCGCAGAUAUCAGGAGGAACACCGAUGGCGAAGGCAGGUCUCUGGGCAUUAACUGACGCUGAGGAGCGAAAGCAUGGGGAGCGAACAGGAUUAGAUACCCUGGUAGUCCAUGCCGUAAACGUUGGGCACUAGGUGUGGGGGACAUUCCACGUUUUCCGCGCCGUAGCUAACGCAUUAAGUGCCCCGCCUGGGGAGUACGGCCGCAAGGCUAAAACUCAAAGGAAUUGACGGGGGCCCGCACAAGCGGCGGAGCAUGCGGAUUAAUUCGAUGCAACGCGAAGAACCUUACCAAGGCUUGACAUGAACCGGUAAUGCCUGGAAACAGGUGCCCCACUUUGUGGUCGGUUUACAGGUGGUGCAUGGUUGUCGUCAGCUCGUGUCGUGAGAUGUUGGGUUAAGUCCCGCAACGAGCGCAACCCUCGUUCUAUGUUGCCAGCACGUGAUGGUGGGGACUCAUAGGAGACUGCCGGGGUCAACUCGGAGGAAGGUGGGGACGACGUCAAAUCAUCAUGCCCCUUAUGUCUUGGGCUUCACGCAUGCUACAAUGGCCGGUACAAAGGGUUGCGAUACUGUGAGGUGGAGCUAAUCCCAAAAAGCCGGUCUCAGUUCGGAUUGGGGUCUGCAACUCGACCCCAUGAAGUCGGAGUCGCUAGUAAUCGCAGAUCAGCAACGCUGCGGUGAAUACGUUCCCGGGCCUUGUACACACCGCCCGUCAAGUCACGAAAGUUGGUAACACC
This 747-nucleotide ribosomal RNA is filed under the name Arthrobacter sp. 2H3. RNAcentral describes it as "bacterial SSU rRNA". It matches the Rfam family "Bacterial small subunit ribosomal RNA", at positions 678 to 1421 of the family's 1533-position model. Lineage: Bacteria; Bacillati; Actinomycetota; Actinomycetes; Micrococcales; Micrococcaceae. The record is from RNAcentral.